GCUGUCUUGGGAAGUUGCCUUGUUUUCUCUUUGCCUUCCGCCAUGGUUGUAAGUUUUCUGAGGCCUCCCCAGCCAUGCUGAACUGGGUAUAGAGAAAGGAGGAAGUAUAUCACCGCUAUGCCUACAUUAUCAGUAAAAUAUCUUUUAUGAAGGGUCUCACUCUGUCACUCUUGCUGGAGUGCAGCAGCAUGACCAUGGCUCACUACAGCGUUGACACCCGGGUCUUAAGCAAUCCUCCCGCUUCAGCCUCUCCAGUAGCUUGGACUACAGGCAUGGGCCACCACACCCAGCUAUUUUUUGUAUUUUUAGUAGAGGUGGGGUUAUGCCAUGUUGUAAGAUGUUUUUUUCCAUAGCAGCAAUGGCUAUAACCUAAUGGGUAUGUAUCAUGCUACAUUGUAAUUCCCCCUUAAUUGUUCUGUUUCCCCUUUUAAUCAGUCAUUCUUUAAGUACAGGCAUCGACUUGUUCAACAUUGUGUCCAUAAUUCUGAGAAAACUACAUUAGUUAGUGAGGCUUGCAUUAUAGACUCAAUGUAGAAAGUAAAAACUAUAAAAAAGAGUACAGGAGAAUAUAAUUCAAUGAAAAUCUGGAUCUUUGUCCAGUUAAAGCCAAGAGUCUGUUUGGUACCUGGGAAGUAAAAGACUAGAUUAUAAAGGGCAGUGAAAGUUGGAGUUUCGAUGUAGUGAGGAAUAAAAUCAUUGUAAAGGGCAGCAUAAUAUGGAGAUAGACAAUAAAUGUAGUGUCUAAAUAAAAAUCUGGGAGCCUCAUAGAAGGAUUGAUUGGAGCAGAGGAUGCUGGAGGGUAGCUAGAGCAGUAUUGACUACAUUGGGAGAAAUUCAAGCAAUGGAUGCCAUUCUCAUUACCAUGGAUGACGUUUAUUGAGAGGUUGCUGUGAGCCAUUAUGUUUCACAACUAUCAAUUUAUUUUCCAUGAGACUAACAUUAUUAGUCUAAUUCUAGAAGCAAGGAAACAUGACACAUAUGAAGUGUGGUAGGGAUCCUCUAAAACAAUUCUCGAUGGUCCUGCCAUUUUAAUAUCCAUACCCUUAUGUAAUCUCUCUCCUUGAGUUUUGGUUAGAUUUACUGACUGUUCUAACAACAAAGACCAUGGCAGAAAUGAUUGAAUGUCAUUCCCAAGAUUAGACUAUAAAAGACUGCAAUUUCCGUUUUGAAAGCUUUCUCUCAUUCUCUCUUUGGAUCACUUGCUCUAGGAAAAUUAGCUGCCAUAGUAUGUAGAAGCAGACCUCACAGAGAGCCAUGUGAGUGAGCUUGGAAACAAGACCUACCAUUCCCCAGUCACCUCUUCUUCAAAUCUUAGAAUAGCUACAAGCAAGCCCCAAUGAAUACCUUGUUGCAGUCUUAAGAGAUUAUCUUAAGCCGAAACCACUCAGCUCAGCUGCCCUAAGAUGUCUGAUUUACAGGAAAAAAAAGUAAAUGAUAAAUGCUUUUCUGUUUUAAGCAGCUAAAUAUUGGGGUGAAUUGUUACAUAGUAAUGAAAAACUAAUAUAGUAAGUGACAUAGAGGGGAUUUAAACCCAGGCUGAUUAGUGUAUACGAGAAUCAGUGGUUUUAAGUUCACAGCAAAAUUGAGAAGAAGGUACAAGGAGUCUCUGCAGCAAUACAUGCAUAGCCUCCCCCAUUAUCAGAGUGGUACAUUUGUCACAAUCAAUGAAUUUACAUGGACAAACUAUUGUCACUCCAAGUUCAUAGUUUAUAUUAGGGCUCACUCUUGAUGUUGUACAUUUUAUGGGUUUAGAAAAAUGUGUAAUUAUAUGUAUUCAUCAUUAGAGUAUAUUUUCUUCCCUAAAAAUCUUGUGUGUUCCACAGGACAUCUUGGUUGGUUCCAAGUUUCGGCAAUGAUUAAUAAAGCUGUGAUAACUAUUGUUUGCAGAUUUUUCUGUAGGCAUAAGUUUUAAACUCCUUUGGUCAAACACCAAAGAGUGUGACUGCUAAAUCACAUGAUAAGAGUAUGUUUCCUUUUCUAAGAAACCACCAAACUGUCUUUUAAAGUAGUAUGUAGUGAUAUCUCAUAUUUUAAAUUUGUAUUUCCCUGAUGACAUAUGAUGAGCAGCAUGUUUUUAUAUGUUUAUUUGCCAUCUGUAUAUUUUAUUUUAUGAUAUGUCUAUUAAGGCCUGUAACCCAUUUUAAAGUCAGAUUGUAUAAUUUCCUAUUGUUGACUUUUAAGAGUUUUUUGUAUAUUUUGGAUAAUAGUAUUUUAUCAGAUGUUAUUAGA
Molecule: long non-coding RNA, 2229 nt
Organism: Pan troglodytes (chimpanzee)
Lineage: Eukaryota; Metazoa; Chordata; Mammalia; Primates; Hominidae
Exons: 3
Source: RefSeq, a predicted model, not a curated record